AGUGGGGGAUAACGUACCGAAAGGUACGCUAAUACCGCAUAUGCCCUGAGGGGGAAAGGGGGGGAUCGUAAGACCUCUCGCUUUCGGAGUGGCCGAUAUCGGAUUAGCUAGUAGGUGAGGUAAAGGCUCACCUAGGCGACGAUCCGUAGCUGGUCUGAGAGGACGACCAGCCACACUGGGACUGAGACACGGCCCAGACUCCUACGGGAGGCAGCAGUGGGGAAUUUUGGACAAUGGGCGAAAGCCUGAUCCAGCCAUGCCGCGUGAGUGAAGAAGGCCUUCGGGUUGUAAAGCUCUUUCAGACGGAAAGAAAUCGCACUGAUUAAUACUCAGUGUGGAUGACGGUACCGUAAGAAGAAGCACCGGCUAACUACGUGCCAGCAGCCGCGGUAAUACGUAGGGUGCGAGCGUUAAUCGGAAUUACUGGGCGUAAAGCGUGCGCAGGCGGUUUUUUAAGACAGAUGUGAAAUCCCCGGGCUUAACCUGGGAACUGCAUUUGUGACUGGAAGACUAGAGUGUAGCAGAGGGGGGUAGAAUUCCA
RNAcentral lists this ribosomal RNA (541 nucleotides) under uncultured Gallionellaceae bacterium. RNAcentral describes it as "bacterial SSU rRNA". It matches the Rfam family "Bacterial small subunit ribosomal RNA", at positions 135 to 671 of the family's 1533-position model. The record is from RNAcentral. Lineage: Bacteria; Pseudomonadati; Pseudomonadota; Betaproteobacteria; Nitrosomonadales; Gallionellaceae.